Spodoptera litura is the source of this 1829-nucleotide long non-coding RNA. RefSeq lists it as uncharacterized. Lineage: Eukaryota; Metazoa; Arthropoda; Insecta; Lepidoptera; Noctuidae. The record is from RefSeq and is a predicted model, not a curated record.
UACAAAAGGUAUUAAUUGCGUUUUGAUUUCAUUUCAUGGAAAGAACUAAUGGAACUGCCCAUUACGCAAAUUAUGGAAACAUUCCAUAUACACUAAAUUGAUAUUAAUUAGAUUUUAAUGGACGGUUAAAGUACAGGUAAUGGGAUUUUACACGAUAAAACCUGUUAUAUUAUCUUGUUCAUAAAGGGUUAUUAGAUCAAGAAAUUAAUUACCACUAAUAAAUCAUUUUAAAGAAGCAUCUGUCAUUGCACGAAAAACCUACACUUUUAGUGGCUGAUGAGAUUUAAAUUAAAAUUGAAAAACACAAACUUAUUUUAUCAGAUUAAAGAAUCGAAACAGGGCAAUGACAGAUAGUUGCAUACAUUGAUUGUUCUGCAUAAGAUCAAAAAUUUCUUUCCAAAUAUGAGUCUAUAAAAUAAUGAAUACUAAUAAACAAAUACAAAUAUUUACAGACGAAUUGAUUGCUAUUUAUCUCAACAUCAAUGAGAGUCUGGUAAACAUUAUAUUUAAUUCUCUUUAUCUGAUCAAACAUACGUGCAGUCACGUCUAUGAUAAAAGUACACAGGUAUGUAAACGUAGUAAAAAAAAAUAUUUAUGUAACUAUGUUACAUAUACACACAUCAUUUAAAAAAGAGAAAAAGAACCCUUAGAAGUACUAAUAAUUUGGCAGACAAUGGAAUGUCAAAUAUGGCACAAUCUUUGGCGCCAUAAUAUUUAUCCAAUGGAUAUCUGUCACUAAUCAGUCGAUAACGUUGUAAACGUCUCGCUGUAGGCAUUAUCGCCGUCACCUGAUAUUUCACUAAUACCUUUAAGUUAUAAUUGUAAUAUUUUGGGGAUGGUCCCACGUUUCACCCUUGUGAAACUCCUUUGAAGGACUCUUCAGACUUUCUCCUAUCUUUAGUAUCAAACCUUUUCGUACUGUUAUUGCAAAUGCGAAUCGAUGUAUUUAGAAUGUUUUAUUCAAAGACAUACUCAACGAAGCAUUUAAGAUAUUUGAAAAUCCUUUGGUUUGACUAACAUAACCCAAAAAUGUAUUGACUACGAAAACAUAAUGUAAAGUAAUUUAGAUAUUUGUUAUUUUGACAGCAAUUAGUAAUUGUAUGACCGGUCACGGAGAGUAUUUAAUAUCAGUAAUUAGUGAACAUAAUUUUGAUAAUUAUGGCACUUUAAUCACAAGCAGGGCGAUACGACAAACGUAAAGAGAUGACGUAUUUAUGAUAUCAUUUUUAUACAACUCUCGUAGUGAUAUUUUCGUCAAUGGAAGUGAGGUAUAUGUAUGAGGUCGAAAAGUCCAGAUUGAAAUGAAAUUUUCUGUUACUACACCAAAAAUCCCGUAGUCUUGUUUUGAUCAGCAUAUAACAAUGGGAUUAUUUUCCAUUUUGGGCCAAACGUUCGGAGAACAUACACUAUUUUUUUUGGCUUUUAUAGCAGGACAAGAAGAAUACGAGGACAGGAGGAAAACUUUAGGACAGUAUUCUGGAAUAUAAAGAUUUAUGACCUUGUAAAGAUAACAAGGUACUUACAGGGGCCCUCGAUACUACCAUAAGUAUAGUCUUAAUCUUUUUGCGAUUACAGCAACAUAUUUUUAGUUGCACAUUGCACAAAGCUUAUCUGUCAGUACUUAAGUAUAUUUGGCGACAAUGAAUAAAUAUUGGCGCAUGUAUCUUAGUGCAAUAAAACUGAUAAUUAUUUUAAAUCCUAAUUUAUUAGUGAGUAACAGAGUAGUUAGUGAAAAUAUGGCUCAUAUUCUUUUUAUUAGUUACCUAUAUUGAAUUUGACUUAUUAUGGACCACAAUGAAUACACCAGUGUCUCUGAGACUCACCGGCGU